Molecule: long non-coding RNA, 190 nt
Organism: Sycon ciliatum
Lineage: Eukaryota; Metazoa; Porifera; Calcarea; Leucosolenida; Sycettidae
Exons: 3
Source: RefSeq, a predicted model, not a curated record
GCCUUCGUUUGGGACCAGCAAGAAUGGAGCGGUUACGUUCAUUUUUGACGGAGAUACGUAUGCGGAUGGAAGGGAAAGCGCCGCCAUAGUCACAGUAUGGAAAGCAGCGAGAAUCCGAAGCUAUCUCAGGACUGUAUUAUCAAUGUCUCCUGUUACUACCCACUACAUUGUAAACCAUACUAUUCAGCUA